AGAACAGCCUAGAUGUGGGUGGAGGCUUCAGAAUUAAAAAUGGGCAAAUGUUUGUUUGGACUGUGGCGGGCAGCAGGCUGCUGAUGUGUGCUCUUGGGGACGGCUGAUGUCCCGUUUUCCCACCCGGUUGUCCUGGGAGCUGGGUCAGGGGAUUGCCUGUUGUGCCUCUCUCCUAAUCUGUGGGGUUUUUCCUUCCGCAGGACCCGUCGGGGCACAGCCCCUGCUCAUGGUGCCCAGACGGCCCGGCUAUGGCACCAUGGGCAAGCCCAUUAAACUGCUGGCCAACUGCUUCCAAGUUGAAAUCCCAAAGAUUGAUGUCUACCUCUAUGAGGUGGACAUCAAACCAGAUAAGUGUCCUCGGAGGGUGAACAGGGAUGUGGUGGACUCCAUGGUGCAGCAUUUUAAAGUGACAAUAUUUGGGGACCGUAGACCAGUGUAUGAUGGGAAAAGAAGCCUCUAUACAGCCAAUCCACUUCCUGUGGCCACUACUGGGGUGGAUUUGGAUGUGACACUACCGGGAGAAGGUGGAAAAGACCGUCCCUUCAAAGUGUCAAUAAAGUUUGUUUCUCGGGUGAGCUGGCACUUGCUGCAUGAAGUUUUGACAGGAAGAACCUUGCCUGAGCCUCUGGAACUAGACAAACCUAUCAGCACUAACCCUGUUCAUGCUGUCGAUGUGGUGCUACGACACCUCCCCUCCAUGAAGUACACCCCUGUGGGCCGCUCCUUCUUCUCAGCUCCAGAAGGCUAUGACCACCCCCUGGGAGGGGGCAGGGAGGUCUGGUUUGGAUUCCAUCAGUCAGUCCGACCUGCCAUGUGGAAGAUGAUGCUCAACAUCGAUGUUUCUGCCACUGCCUUCUACAAAGCACAACCCGUAAUUCAGUUCAUGUGUGAAGUCCUUGACAUUCAUAAUAUUGAUGAACAACCAAGACCUCUGACUGAUUCUCAUCGGGUAAAAUUCACCAAAGAGAUAAAGGGUCUGAAGGUAGAAGUGACUCACUGUGGGACGAUGAGAAGGAAGUACCGUGUCUGCAACGUCACGAGGCGACCUGCAAGUCAUCAAACCUUUCCUUUGCAGCUGGAAAAUGGCCAGACUGUGGAGAGGACAGUAGCACAGUAUUUCAGAGAGAAAUACAACCUCCAGCUGAAAUACCCUCACCUUCCUUGUCUGCAAGUGGGACAAGAACAAAAACACACCUACCUGCCUUUAGAAGUGUGUAACAUCGUGGCUGGCCAGAGGUGCAUCAAGAAGCUCACGGACAAUCAGACCUCGACCAUGAUAAAAGCCACAGCCAGGUCUGCCCCAGACAGGCAGGAGGAAAUCAGCAGAUUGGUGAGAAGUGCAAAUUACGAUGCAGAUCCAUUUGUCCAGGAGUUCCAGUUCAAGGUGCGGGAUGAGAUGGCCCAUGUGACGGGCCGUGUGCUCCCAGCCCCGAUGCUGCAGUACGGGGGACGGAAUCGAACUGUGGCAACCCCAAGCCAUGGAGUGUGGGACAUGAGAGGGAAGCAGUUCCACACUGGUGUGGAGAUCAAGAUGUGGGCUAUAGCUUGCUUUGCAACACAGAGACAAUGCAGAGAAGAAAUAUUGAAGGGUUUCACAGACCAGCUGCGCAAGAUCUCCAAGGACGCCGGGAUGCCCAUCCAGGGCCAGCCCUGCUUCUGCAAGUAUGCCCAGGGUGCAGACAGUGUGGAGCCCAUGUUCCGACACCUCAAGAACACCUAUUCGGGCCUGCAGCUCAUCAUUGUCAUCCUGCCAGGGAAGACACCUGUGUAUGCGGAGGUGAAGCGCGUGGGAGAUACGUUGUUGGGAAUGGCCACACAGUGUGUUCAGGUCAAGAACGUCAUCAAAACAUCUCCACAGACCCUCUCAAAUCUGUGCCUGAAGAUCAAUGUUAAACUAGGAGGAAUCAACAACAUCCUUGUACCUCAUCAACGACCUUCUGUGUUCCAGCAGCCAGUGAUCUUUUUGGGAGCUGAUGUCACUCACCCUCCAGCUGGAGAUGGAAAGAAGCCCUCCAUCGCUGCUGUUGUAGGCAGCAUGGAUGCCCACCCCAGCCGGUACUGUGCCACGGUGAGGGUCCAGCGGCCCCGGCAGGAGAUCAUCCAGGACCUGGCCUCCAUGGUCAGGGAGCUGCUCAUCCAGUUCUACAAGUCAACACGGUUCAAGCCCACCCGCAUCAUCUUCUACAGGGACGGGGUCUCUGAGGGACAGUUCCGACAGGUUUUGUAUUAUGAGCUGCUGGCCAUUAGAGAAGCCUGCAUCAGUCUGGAGAAGGAUUACCAGCCUGGGAUCACCUACAUCGUGGUGCAGAAGCGACACCACACGCGGUUGUUCUGUGCUGACAGAACAGAAAGGGUCGGACGGAGUGGCAAUAUUCCAGCGGGGACAACUGUAGACACAGACAUUACACACCCCUACGAGUUCGAUUUUUACCUCUGUAGCCAUGCUGGAAUACAGGGAACCAGCCGGCCCUCCCACUACCAUGUGCUGUGGGAUGACAACUGUUUCACAGCAGAUGAGCUGCAGCUCCUCACGUACCAGCUGUGCCACACCUACGUGCGCUGCACCCGCUCCGUGUCCAUCCCAGCCCCAGCCUACUACGCUCACCUGGUGGCAUUCCGGGCCAGGUACCACCUCGUGGACAAGGAACACGACAGUGCUGAAGGGAGCCACGUGUCAGGACAGAGCAACGGGCGAGACCCCCAGGCCCUGGCGAAGGCUGUACAGAUUCACCAAGACACCUUACGCACGAUGUACUUCGCUUAAGUCAAUGACCCGGGAGACACUCACCGAGAGGAGAACUUGAGAACUUAAGCCACAUACAAUGAGUUCUUGUGGAGUUCUGGCAUUUAGGUGAAAACUCCUUUUUACAAAGCCUUUUGACUCUCCUUUCAAAGCUGCUGGAUGCUUCUCAUCCCACCCACGCUCGGCAACUCGGAUUCGAGAAGCUUUUUUGCUCGCUGCUUUCACCAAAAACUAAAGAACCUUCAUUGGCAAAGUGACUUCAGUUGUCAAGGUAACGUUGUACCUGGUUUUCAUGUGAAGAGUAUUUGGAAGUUUUAAUCUCUCUUCUUGGUUUUGCAAAUAUCUACGUCAAGUGCCGAUACUUCUUUGUAUUACGAUAUCAAGUUACUGACGUUGUGAGGGCCACACAUUAAUGAUGCUGUAGCUGCUAUAUUUAUUUAAAUGGAGAUGGACAAUUACUGCACUAAGGAAUGAGGAGAAAAGCAAGGAAUCAAGGUUAGUUAGAUAUCUUGGGUUUUUUUUCAAAAGAGAAAUAAUGGUGUGAAAUAUCAAGUGUAACAAAGGGUGCUGUCAUUUUAACUGAGAUUAAAUAGCCAGAUAUUCUUCUUUUGUUUAAAAACAUAUAUAUUUUGAUGUUUGCAGUUUGGGGGUGGGGGGUCGGGAUAAAUGGUACCUCAUCUGUGGUGGCAGUUUCCAGUAUAUUUUCAGAGUAUAUGGAUUUCUUUUAUUUUUGUACCUGCUCUCCUUUAAAAAGAAAAAAAAAAUUCUCAGAUUUUAUGUGCCGUUUGAGGAAAUCUUGAGUGGCACAGCAGAUCCCCCCUCUCCUGGUGGGAGCUGGCUGUGGAUAGUCCAGAGAGGGACGUGGGCACAGGCUGAUGAUUCUUCUUGCUUUGCAGACACCGGGUUUAUGCCUGUCGGGAAAAGCAGUUCCCGUCUCCUCAGACACUGAGACCUCACUUGUACUUAACAAGUGCCACUAAGUGCUCCCGUGGGGGGAGCAGCCCCAGGGCUGGGCCAGGAGUGGCUGUAGGGUAUUGCUGGAAUGGUGCUGGCCAUGGGGAUGGACCCUGGGGUGCCAUCAGUGCCCCUCCUCACCUGGGGAUGGACCCUGGGGUGCCAUCAGUGCCCCUCCUCACCUGGAGCCAGCUGUGCCCAAUCCUGCCAUCUGACCACUGGUAGAUCCACAGUUGGAGGGAACCCUGGAAUGUUUUGUGGUCAAGGCAUUAAACUUGUGGCAUCUGCAGACAGACCGAGUGACUCCCUAAGUCGCCUUUUGUCCUUGGUAGGGAUUUCAGCCGUGGUCAUUGGACUCAGGAUCGCUGUGUCACUGUUCAGUGUGUCAUCUGGUUACACGUGUCCAAAAGUUAUUUUUAUAGGGUUCAUUCCGGCAUCCUUCUGGAAGUUUGUUUGGCCACAGAAAUGGGUUUUCAGGAGUUAAAUGGGUUUCUGGAAGCUGUCAGUCAAAUUAUUUCAAGAUGCUCUUGGUCCUCAAUGAUUUUCACUUAUUCAUGUAUGAAUUCUUGUCCUAAAAAAUGCUCAACAUGAAAUACCAGACAGUCAUCUGCUGUACAAAUUCCAGCUACAAAUACUGGUGUUCUACUAGUCUUAAAGUUCACUCUGGUGAAAUUCCAAGCUCAAGCUUGAGGCCUUUUGUUUUUCUACACUUUCUUCAUAUCUUGUCCUGUUCUGAUAUUUUCCCUGUUUUUUGAACUGAGGGUUUAGAACCUUUCUCGAAGCACUUUUAUAACCAAGAAAUCACAAGCUCAGAUUAUGUAUGUCAGACCUGUAAAUUCAGUUUUCAGAGGAGGUUGUUUCUAAAUGGCCAUCGUGGUCUCUGGUCAGGCCAGGCUGAUGCCCUGUCCCUUUCAGUGCCGUGGGGUUUUGUGGCUGCUACUGGCAGGUUGGUUGGAUCUAUUGAAAAAAUCAAAGGGAAAGAUUCCUGUCUUUUUCUACCCAAAGAUGGUACUUGAGGUUGAUGCUGGGUGUCAGAAUAUCAUUUUUAUUUUGGCACAUGUUGAAAUCCAACUUCACUUAGCCAAUUCACUCCUGGUUUUUAUACAAUAUCAUGGUUAGAGCUUGAGCUCGUUGAUGCUUUCUGCUGGUAGAAGAUUUUGUACUUUCUGUAGUUGAGGUAUGAGCGAGAUGGAUACAGGAUCCUACAUUUUACCUCCCAAGCAGAGUCUUAAGAAUCCUGAUCUGUGUGACACUAAAACCCAAACUGUUGUCCCUGACUAGGCAAAGGUGCAUGUGGAGGGGAAGGAAUUGUAAGCGAGAGGUUUGUGAGGGGAAAAUAUCAAAGCAUCGGUUUGGCAGAAAGGAGGGUGCUGGGGAGACUCCAUCCAUCUCUGCACCCCACGUGCCCUGGCCUUUCAGAUCCUGUCUGAGGUACCCCCUCACCUGCCACGGGUCGUUACUGUAGGGUUCUUUUCAAACAAAGCAGUUCCACUGUUUAAAACUUGGAAUGACUUUUAUUUUUUUUUUAAGCAAGACAGUCCUCAGAAAGUGCCUUUUUAGAAGAUGGUGCUGUAGAUUUUUAUUUUCCAGUUGUACGUGGCUGCAAAUUUAAGAUAAAUUAUUGAAAAAUGCCAAGUGUUUGAUAGUAUCUUUUAGGUACUUUCAAGCAUCAGCUUCUCUGAGUCAGGACCAAGAAUAACCGGGAAGGUGUUUUCCUUUGGAGGGAGAGGCAUUGAGGAGCGAUCACCAAAUUCAGCUGGUAGGCUGGGCUUGGGCUGGGUUUGGUCAAUGUGAUUUGCCUCUUCAUAUUGAGGGGGUGUGGGGUUUAGGGUGUGGGAGAAGCUCUAGGGAUGUGGUUAGUGUCCAAAGGAAUCCAUAGCUACUGGAGGAUGUCAUCUCUUAGGGGUAGAGACAUCCCAAAGAUCAAGACAAACUGAAAGGUGUCUUAGGAGGAUGUCUUAAGGAUGGCUUAGGAGAUGGUGGGUCCUCACAUGGCUUGUGUGUGUCCAGGAGGAAUGUCAUGGAUCACUGGGUCCUUCUGAUUCCCAGCUGGGAGUUGGGUGCUCUGGAUGG
Manacus vitellinus (golden-collared manakin) is the source of this 5770-nucleotide RNA transcript. It is a transcript of the gene named protein argonaute-3, with no coding region annotated. The record is from RefSeq and is a predicted model, not a curated record. The transcript is spliced from 19 exons. NCBI's taxonomy places the organism in Eukaryota, Metazoa, Chordata, Aves, Passeriformes, Pipridae.